UUAGGAGAGUUUGAUCUUCAAUGGUUGAUGCCCUUGAAUCUCGCCGUCUUCAAAUCCUUCGUAUUCGCUAUCUUCUCCAAUGCAAUGUUUUCUUUCGUCUGUCAAAAAGUGCCUUCUUCUUUCUCUUCCAAGCCUUCUUAUAGCUUCAGAUGCAUCUCUUCCAAGCAAAAGGUCCAAACUACCCUUAAUGAGCAGAAUCGGUUCACAAAGCAAAAAUUAGGUUUUCCAAGCUGCGUCCAAUCAACACGGUCGUGUGUCACCACACGGGUGGCCGUGUUGUUCUCCAUAAUUAAUUAUUUUCAGCACAAGCUACAGAGGCAACAACACGGGCCGUGUU
Molecule: long non-coding RNA, 337 nt
Filed under: Lathyrus oleraceus (garden pea)
Lineage: Eukaryota; Viridiplantae; Streptophyta; Magnoliopsida; Fabales; Fabaceae
Description: Pisum sativum (pea) long non-coding RNA (PSAT_LNC002401)
Source: RNAcentral